AUACGGAGGGUGCAAGCGUUAUUCGGAAUCACUGGGCGUAAAGGGUGCGUAGGCGGUUUGAUAAGUCUGAUGUGAAAUCCUAUGGCUCAACCAUAGAACUGCAUUGGAAACUGUCAGACUAGUAUACUGAAGGGGCAGAUGGAAUUAGUGGUGUAGGGGUAAAAUCCGUAGAUAUCACUAGGAAUACCGAAAGCGAAAGCGAUCUGCUGGGAAGUUAUUGACGCUGAGGCACGAAAGCGUGGGGAGCAAACGGGAUUAGAAACCCUAGUAGUCC
Molecule: ribosomal RNA, 274 nt
Filed under: uncultured bacterium
Lineage: Bacteria
Description: partial 16S ribosomal RNA
Rfam family: Bacterial small subunit ribosomal RNA
Source: RNAcentral